Molecule: ribosomal RNA, 903 nt
Filed under: uncultured Bacteroidota bacterium
Lineage: Bacteria; Pseudomonadati; Bacteroidota
Description: bacterial SSU rRNA
Rfam family: Bacterial small subunit ribosomal RNA
Source: RNAcentral
GCCCUUAGAGUUUGAUCAUGGCUCAGGAUGAACGCUAGCGGCAGGCUUAACACAUGCAAGUCGAACGGUAACAGGGGUAGCAAUACCCGCUGACGAGUGGCGCACGGGUGCGUAACGCGUAUGCAACUUGCCCUGUACUGGGGGAUAGCCCCGGGAAACCGGGAUUAAUACCCCAUAAUGUUAUAAGAGGGCAUCCUUUUAUAAUUAAAGCUACGGCGGUACAGGAUGGGCAUGCGUGCCAUUAGUUGGUUGGUGAGGUAACGGCUCACCAAGGCUAUGAUGGCUAGGGGGUCUGAGAGGAUGGUCCCCCACACUGGUACUGAGACACGGACCAGACUCCUACGGGAGGCAGCAGUGAGGAAUAUUGGUCAAUGGGCGGAAGCCUGAACCAGCCAUGCCGCGUGCAGGAUGACGGCCCUAAGGGUUGUAAACUGCUUUUGUAUGGGAAGAAUACCCUGGUUGCGACCGGGAUUGACGGUACCAUACGAAUAAGCAUCGGCUAACUCCGUGCCAGCAGCCGCGGUAAUACGGAGGAUGCAAGCGUUAUCCGGAUUCAUUGGGUUUAAAGGGUGCGCAGGCGGAAUAGCAAGUCAGUGGUGAAAGUCUACAGCUUAACUGUAGAAUUGCCAUUGAAACUGUUAUUCUUGAAUUCAGUUGAGGUAGGCGGAAUGUGUAAUGUAGCGGUGAAAUGCAUAGAUAUUACACAGAACACCGAUUGCGUAGGCAGCUUACUAAACUGAGAUUGACGCUGAGGCACGAAAGCGUGGGGAGCAAACAGGAUUAGAUACCCUGGUAGUCCACGCUGUAAACGAUGAUUACUGGAUGUGUGCGAUACACUGUACGUGUCUGAGCGAAAGCAUUAAGUAAUCCACCUGGGGAGUACGUCGGCAACGAUGAACUCAA